AAUAAGAUCAUUUUUAGUUUUUUAUACAAUGUUUUGACUCUUUAUCUUAUUUAAAUUUUUUUGCAAUUAAUAUUUCUAUUCUUACUGGAUGAUAAAACAUGAAUAGUGUUUUAUGUGUGACUAAUAUUUUUAAGUUUUUUUAUAAAUUUUUUAAAUAAGACAAAUGAUCAAAACGUUGAACACGAAAAUACA
This 192-nucleotide microRNA precursor is filed under the name Oryza brachyantha (malo sina). RNAcentral describes it as "MIR812 microRNA precursor family". It matches the Rfam family "MIR812 microRNA precursor family". The record is from Rfam by way of RNAcentral. Lineage: Eukaryota; Viridiplantae; Streptophyta; Magnoliopsida; Poales; Poaceae.